UGGGAACGAAAUGAUAGUAUAAUUGUCCAUGUAAAGAAAUUGGAGUAACACAUCACUGGGUUUGAGCUCCGAAUGUCAUCCAAAUCAAGUUCAAAUCUUCUACAAACCUGAUAGUAGGUAAUUCCUAUAUUCGAACACAACCCCGAACACUACAGAUAAGCAUGCAUGGUGUGCUCCGUUCCCUAUACACCCCAAAGACCACCAACAGAAAGAUAACAAAGUAGUCCUUUUUGCCAUGGUUAUAACAUAAUAUUUCAGUCUUUGUUAAAGAUGUCUACAGUUAUAUUCACUUAGCAUCAAAUUAUAGAUAAUCUUAUGCUAGACACCUUAAAUGUAGGGAACUCAUUAAUUUUGUCUUCUGUGUGGCAGGAGCCGAGGAGUAUUUUGACUAUGAUGAAGAUAGUGCAUUUGGGCCUCAACACUGGGGAGAUCUGGAUCCGGAUUGGGCAACCUGCCAAGAUGGGAAAAAGCAAUCACCAAUAAAUAUAAAUCAUGAGAUUAUUGAAGUGGAUUCGAGUAUUGGAAGCUUGAUGACAAGUUACAACAGCACUUUUGCAAUUAUGCAAAAUACGGGCCAUUACAUAUUGGUAAGAAGUAGAACAUGAACAAGAAGGGGAAAUAAAAGAACCAGUAAUCUCAUCUUUUUAUUUUCUGUUGCUAAAUAGAAGGGCUAAAGUCCCUCUAAACAUAUUCGUUAAAUCAAUGAAAAGAUAUUACUAUGUUUUACAUUGUUUUUAGGUUUUAUUUUACUCUUUUUUUUAUGAUUUUUUAUAAAAAUUUUGUUCAUAUAAUUUCUUUUUUAUUUUUCUUAUGUGAAUGUAGAUUAACUGGACAGAAGGCGCAACACCUGGUGCAGGAUCUCUUUUGAUUGAUGGCAAGGACUAUGUUCUUCAACAAUGUCAUUGGCACUCACCCUCUGAGCAUAUAUUUUUUUGGUGAGAGGUACCUUUCUAUAACUCCAUCUCCACCCUUUUUUUUGGUAACAUAAAUUUGUUAUAGGGAGGGUGACAUUGUGUGGCCUCGAAAUUGGAUUUAUACAUUUCAAAAAUGCUUUAGUAACUCAAAAAUGUCAUUAAACAAGCCGCUUGGUGCGAUGUAUUCUAAUUGCUCCCUUUGAAUUGCUAUCAUCAACUGUGCCAUUAAAUGAAGCAAGGUGAUUCAGUGAUUGGUAUAAAGCACCUGAAUGACUAUUCUGAGUUACUUUAGCAUCACUCCAUAUGCAUUUUAUAUGUUAAUUAUUUGCUAUCUGAUGUUUUAUUAUUCUUGACCCCAAAAUUGGGCCCGGCCCACCCAUUCGACCUGACACACUGUGUCACUAUGCCUAAGUCCAGCGGAUGGGUCCAACAGGAUGGGCCAAAUUUGCCCAGGUCUAGCCGGCCCACAUUCUACAUGCCUGGAGUAAGCUUUGAGCAAAUAGAAGUUGAAGAACUCUUCAGAACAUGAGUCAAGAAAAAACUUCUAUAAUUAUAUGGCAUCCUAUGAAAAAUAAACCCUUUUCUAGAAUAAGAUAUAUGUUAGCAUGUCGCUUAACUCAAAAUGUGUUUUACAGUUUUCAAGUAACAACACAUCUUGGAGGUGUAAAAACCAAUGAUUUUAGUUAAUGUUACUUUAUUUGAUUUAAUGUAAUAACUCAAGGCCUCAUCUUAAAACUCUUGAGAUGUGCUUUGCCCUUUUCAAGUUACAACAUGCCUUAGAGGCUUAAGACUAUGGAUUUCAAUUAACAAUGCUUUUUUUGAUUUAGUAUAACAUUAAUCCGGGAUCUCAUCUAAAAAGGACUAGCUAAAAGGUAGUCAAGAUCUCUCAAACAAUACUCUCUCCAUUUGGUCCAAAUCUAAUCAAUUCAAUUUAUAAACACCAGACCAUGAUAGCCCUAUUGUCAUCUCAAAAAGGGCCCAUAUUAUAAUAUCCCCUAGUCCAUAUAGACAGUGGGCUAGGUUAGCUUUGAUGGCCUCACCUAAAAACGAUUAGCCAAAAUGCAUUAUUUGGUUUCCUGGUUUUGUAUUAGUAUCUAAUAUCUUCCUAGCACACAAGUAAUAUAGAUUGAAUACAAUACUCAUAUAGGUAGGAUUUGAGUUCCUUCUUUGUAUAAGUAUUCAAGAUCUUUUCAACAUAUAACUAAUGUAGAAUGAAAUACAUGCUCGCGUGGAACCUCAAUCAAAGAACCGAAAUAAUACCAUUUGUCUAACCUUUUUCGGAUAAGGUUCGGAGUUGUUAUAAUUUGUAUCAGAGUGGACCAGUCAUACAAUCUAUGUAUGAUUGUGGUAAAGAUGUCUGCGCUUAAACAGGGGAGAACCUGUGUGGACAUGUAUUUACUUGUAUAAUAGUUACGAGCUCUAAAGAUUUUGAUAUUCAUUUAGAGCCAAGGAACUCAAAUAAUAUAUUUCAGAUAGCUUUGUCAGGAUAAGAUCCGUUGUUAUUAAAAUUUUAUAUUUUAUAUUUGUAAAACUCAGCUUCAAAGAGUGAAAAAAUAUGAAACAUGGAUGCGCAGAUGCUUGGACACACAUUAAUACUUUGCUCAUAUUUUAAUGGAAAAUGCUGCAUUAUUCUCUUCCUUCCCUCUGUAGACCAUCCUAGAGAAACUGGUUCCAAGAGAUCAUCCCAACAGAUUUCAAGAUAUUAUCCCUCUCAUAGCACAUCUCACGUAUUUUGGAAGUCAAUUUCCAGCCUCUUACCUUUCGGUGUUUGUAACCUAAGCCAUAAAUAUGUACUUGUAGGUAUCCUCUGGAGUUGCAUAUGGUCCACAUGAAUUCAGAUGGAAGCAUAGCUGUCAUUGGCAUCUUGUACCAACAUGGCUCUCCUGAUCCGUUCCUUUCAAAGGUUUGACAUCAAAAGAACGUACCUUCUUUUACCUUUUCCUCUUCACUCCAACUUAAGCAGGCUAAUCUUUAUUGGCUCAGCUGCGGAACUACUUGGAGUAUCUGAUACGGGAGCAAAAAGAUGAGGUUGUCGUGGGAUAUUUACCUCCACCACCAAUAGAGAAUCGAGCUCCUUAUUAUAGAUACUCUGGCUCUCUAACCACUCCACCCUGCACUGAAAAUGUUACUUGGAUCCUACUACGAGAGGUUUGCAUCAUCUUUAACUUACCUAUUAUGCUUGCCUCCUUUGCUAAGCUCUGCCUCUUUAUCAAUCAAUUCAUUGUGGUUUUAGGUGAGGCCCGUAUCAGAAGGACAAGUAGACCUGCUAAGGGCUGCUUUACAUUAUGUAAGUUGGCUGAUUGAGAAUUAUCAUAUUCAAUGCAAUGCAAUUACAUUAGAUUACUUAAAUAUCUUUGUAGCUUGCUGAUGGCCGACGAAAUGGUCUAUUUUGUGUUCAAUUACCUUUCUGCAGAAGGACAAUGCAAGACCAAUUCAACCAAUCAACGGACGCAAGGUCUACUUGUACAAACCAUGGAUACACGAAGAUCAUGCGAGUCCUAUUGCUACAUAAUUACUUUGAUGGGAAAAUCUUAUUCCAAACAGCAAAUAAAAUAACCAAGAGUUUAGCAUACUUUGUUGCUCUGCUUUUAAAAUCUGAAAUAAGGUGUUGUGGCCCUACGUUGAAGGCCAGCCGCUUAAAUAAACAUUUCAGUCCAUGGUACAUAGUGAUCGUAAUGCAAUGUAUUCUCUUUUCUUGUAUCAGCUAUUUCUUUCUUGUGCACUAGUUUGUAACCUUGGAUACCAUCAGAACGAUCGUUAUUUGCUGUAUGAUAAAUGAUUUGCUAUUUGGUGAAGAAUGACUUGCACAAACGAUGUCAACAUAUUUUACUAGUUAUAAUGCACAUGUCUAUGUACGUGUGUAUCAAAUAAAAUAUCAUAAUAAUUUCGUGUAUAAAUUAUUAUGUUGAAAAUCCAUUUAUUGCUAAUGGCACAUACAAAGACAGAAAACCUAAUUUGAUGCGGACUUGAAAAAUAGUACUUGAGAUAGAAAGGCUAGGAGGAAUGAUAAAAUUAUAUAUAGCCUCGACUUAUAUCUAGUCUGACCUGAUCCGAUUGCCACCUCUAGGACUCAAUUGCUACCAAGUCAAUAGCACCCAUCUCCUUCUGCAACAUCAAUAAAAGAAAUUAUGUGAUUUGUGGGCGCCCUAUUGUAUUGCUCUUUAGAUUAACGAAACCUAUACAUGCUGGCCGAUUAAGCCUAGAAAAUAUUACAGAUAAAAAUGUUCCAAUUAGAGAUCUUCUGAAAAAAAGUAGUGAGGUUAUAAAUCAUAAUCUGGAGGAUGAAAUAAUCAUAACCGAUCAUGAUCUGGCUGACAAAAACUAGAUCGGAUCAGAUACCUUGCCAAAGGCAAUGAUGAUCCUGGAGGAGUCUAUUUAAAUUAGAGGUAAGAUGGACACAGGUUUGUGACUUUCUUUGCAUGUGCCUACCACUAUCAUAGAGCAAAUACCGAUUCCUGUUAUCACUUGCAAUGCAAAUGCUGAAUCUAUUCAUCACGUGUUUGUCACCUGCCCAUUCUCAAUGGAAGUUUGGAAUGCUGUCAGCUUUUGCCUGAAUGCAUCGGUUCCUCCACCCAGGCUGGACUUCUCAUAUCAAAACCGGACUUCACAGUCCUUUCCGGAGGACCAACAGCAAAUCAUCCUCAUGUUCAUCUCCUCUUUUUCAUGGGCCUCGUGGAAAGAAAGAAAUUCUAGGAUUUUCUCGAGGAAAUCUUCUAUACCUGUUUCAGUUGCUCAGAAUGGUCUCAACAUGCUCAAAGAUUGGUCCGUCCUUUAUCAGAGCAAACACCUCAAAGUUUGGACAAAAAUCAAGAACAUCAGCACUAUCUUAAAGGAUUCAUGGUUCCAUAUACAGCUUACUACUUGAAAAAUCCAUCCCUAGCUGUUUGAAGUGGCUGAUCCUCUUUGUUUUUCCUGCAGAGCCUUGAGUUUUCACAACAAGAGAGUGUUCAUCACCUCUCUGGUCUUUCACUACUCUAUCCCUUGGAUGGACCUCUCUUCUCCAUGAGCCUGCUGCUACUUAUUUCUUUUGUUGAUUGUGAGACAACAUUGUUAAAGAAUCACUUUGCCCUAUUCUCUUAUAUAUAGUGCUACGUAAAUAACUUCUUUCAGUAAAAAAUUUGGAUGGCUCUUUUUUAGCCUCCCUUAUCAUCAAAAAAAAAGAAAAAGUUAAAACUUGUUGCAAUCUCAAUUUUACCAUAUUCGCUGAGAAUUUAAUAUCUUGGUGCCUAUAUGUCAACUGAAAUCUUGGAAACUCUUAGUUCUUCCUAAAAUUUCUGCACCUUCUAUUGCUGUUGAGAUAAACACAGAUCUAUGUACAUGACAAUUGAUACGUAUUAAAUUUCUGAUAUCAGCUUGAUAUUACCAUGACCUUCAAUCCCAUUUAAGAAUACAUCCUUGAACUUUGGCUAACUCUUUGGGAAAGAGUUUUAAUGAAAAUGAUGGAAAAAAUAUUGGACACCUCGACCUCAGGCUAUACUGACCUCGACAACCUCGGCCUCGACCGAAGAGAGCAACUUCGGUCCCGAUUGAGGAGCUAACCGAUCAAAGUGAGCAACUUCGUCUCUGACUGAGGAGUCCAUUCAACACGUGCCAUCAGGGACUGACAGUCCUAACAACCGAUGGCCUUGGCAGCCCGUAGUCAUGACAGCACUAUAGUCUGCACCCAACUAGCACUAAGAAUAACUGGAAUUGAACGAGCAAACGGAGGCUGAAAGCAUGCCGUCCACACGGACUAGCUUUCACGCUGCGGCUGUACCAUCGGCCAUUGCCUGGCCGUCUUUGUUCUUCACAUCAGUCCAGAUAACGAAAAAAUACUCUCUUAUAUAAAGGGGCAACUCGAGAGAUCUCAGGAAUGAGGUAGAAAGCCUCUUUUUUAAUGACUCUGUCAAAGUAACAAGACCAUUAUUUCUGACUUUUUGAAGGGGUCCGACCUAAAUCGACUAUCACCCUCGCUUUCCUCAUCUUUGCUUAUGGUGCCGUCUUUUGAAUUAGAAGAAAUGCCAUGCGUUUGAUAACAUAUUACUAUGGAAGUCGAAGAGGGGCAGCUCCUCUUAGACUUCUCAACAGGUAGUCACCCUCAGAAAAGAAAAGGGAAAACAUGCCAAUUUAACAUUUGUGACAUCAAUUGGGGCCUUUGGAUCUAUGAUUUCAAUGAUUUAUAUGUAAGACUAUCAAAAGUUGUGAUGUCUUUCAAAUUUUUGAGUAUAAAAUAACCUCCUAAAUAUUGGAAUUUGCAUGAAUUCCUUUCCAAAAUUGAUAUUUGCAUGUAUACUAUUAUAUAAUACUUGUUUUGCAUGUAUAUCCUUCUGAUCCUUUUCUUUUUUGUAUUUGCACCCACAUCAUCUAAUGCCAUUAAAAAAUUUGUAGUUUAAAAUUGAAAUGACUGAAGUACCUUUAAUGGAUAAAUAUGAAGAAAAAAAUAUUUAUAAGGGUGUAUAUACAAAUAAAAAUUUUAUGAGGGUGUUCAUACAAUUUCACAUAUUUAGGAGGGUAUACACGCCAUAAAAUUCUUAGAUUUUUUUACAUGAAUAUCCUCCUAAAUAUUAAAAUUUGCAUGAAUACCUUCCCAAAAUUAAUAUUAGCAUGGACACUUUGACAUAACAGUUUAGUUGAUAUAAUUAGACAAAAUCAUAUCUAUCUAAAUUAUAAAUUAAUUAAAUUAUGAAAUUACCGCAAAAGUAGGUAACAGGUUAAUGGGUCUUGUUGAGAACUUACCAAUUCCAUUGAACUUCCUAUCUUUGCACGCGAUCGCUCUCUUCCGCUUAAGAUCGCCCUAAUCCCUCUACCUUCUUUGUAAAAUUUUGCAAUCUCUUUCGAUCCCUCUCUUUCACUCUUCCAUCUAGAAUCAAAACCUUUUUCUUGACUCCCUUUACCAUCAACAACCCUUCUCUAUUGACCCCUCUUUUUUUUCUUUUAGUGUGUGAGAUUUGUAAUAUUUAUCUUUUAGAACCAAAAAACUUCUUGUGUGCAAGUAGGUGGCUGAUUUAAAAUUAUUGUAAUAAAAUGAGUCUCAUAGGUCUUUUUCUUCUUUCUGAAAAUCGAAGCUCCAAACAAAAAUAGCUUAAGCAUAAGGGGUGGCCUUUUAUCAUAUGAGUGCAGAGGUUGUUAGUUUGAAGGAUUUUGAAGUCCUUCAAUGGCUUUGCUCGGGGACGAUUAAUAUUUUUCUUCAACCCAUAAGGACAGCAGUAGUAAGAAAGCUUGAUUAUUGCAAUCUAUUGUGUGCCUUUAAGAGAUUCUAAUCUAUUUCUAUAUUCUGAUUUAUACCAUCACAGAUGCAUCUAUAACAAUAAAUAUUACAAGUUGAUUUUCGAUUAAAUGAGACAUAAUGGUUAUUGUAAAUGAUUUAUGGUAUAAAAUACAAUCAUUCGGACAACUGUGUAUGUUCUCGUGUCCAAGAUCCAAUUCGUUUACUAGUUUCUUGGCUUUAUAAGAAGAUGACGGCAAAGUAACACCUUCCGAAAAUGCAUUCUUUAAUAAUUGAAGUGGCAUAGUGAAAGACUUGCUAGACCACCCAUUCAAAUAUUUUAAAUAAAAUAAAUGCAUAAAAAAAGAAAUCUUCAACAAAUUCUUUCCAUGCGGAUAUAGUUUUUGAUCUCAAUCUUUCAUCAAGUUAUGAUACCGAGUUAUGUCAUCAUUAGAUGAAUGUAUAGAUUCCUCAGCAUGCAUACAAUUAGUAAAUGUACACUCAUCACCUAUUGUACCUGCUUCUUGUUCUCCACUGAAAUCUACUAUAUUUUCUAUACCAUGUCCAAGAGCAUAUCUGAGUAAGGCCCUUAUAUCAUCUUCUCCUACAGAAUUUCUUUCCAUGUUACUGGAUCCAAAACUAGAGGUGUUUCUAUAUAGGAGGCUUGGUUACAUGGAGAUGGCAAUAUGGACUCUCCAUGAAAAAUCCAUUCAAUAUAACCCUUUAGAAAACUAUUUCACACCAAAUGUUCUUCAACAGUUUUUGGAGCGAAAGAAGAACAAUUUAUACAUUUUCAACAUGGACAUAAAAUCUUUUCGUUCAUAUUAGAUUUCUCAAAAGCAAAUUUAAUAAAAUUCUGAACUCCAUUCGAAUAUUCUUUGCUGGAUCUCAACUUAUUUAUCCAACUUUGGUCCAUUUUAUUAGAAUACUGAUUGUAUUGCAACUUAUUUACAAAAGAUAAACGAAAUUAAAUAUUUAAUAUUACAUUCCAAAUGAACAACUGGUCUUCUAAGAUAUGAAGGCAGCAAAAGCAUUACCAGAUCCUACAAUACAUGACCUAGACUUGUUUAGUGGUGGAUCCAUGGUGAGAUUGCUCAAGGUAGAAGGUGGACUCAACAUCUCAAAAAAGUUUCACCCUUAGCUAAGCCUACUUGGGAAUCAUGCUGAGAAUACUUCAGAGAUAAUCAAGUUUAUUCCUCUUCAAUAAUAUAUCUAAGAAAGGUCUCUUCUCUAGAUUAUCUUAUUACUCUUCUUAAACAACAUAUUCAUUCAAUUUUGGCAAACAAAAUUAUUAAUCAGGUUUUCUAGCUAUUUUUUUAGAGGGGAAUACGAGCAAUCUAGACAAUUUUCUAUUUUUUUCCAAGAAAUCUCUCCUCAGCGUAUGCGUUGAGGAGAAUGGUGCAAGCCGGCCGAACCAUAUUGCAUCGCACGUAUAAGACCCGAGCAAUGGACUAAUGCGGCAAUCUCAAAUUAAAUGGCUGCUAGUCUCUUUUCAUAAGAUCAGGAUUGUGUUGAGGGCAAGAUUUGUGAAUGAGAAGACCGGAAUACUUUUAAAAAUCUGAAUUGGUGAGCACAUCAAAUCCAGCAAAUGCAUGUGCAACCCAGCAAGAUUCAUCAAGCACACCAAGUGUUAGAUAUCUAGGGGAAGCAGCAACCAUUGUUAAAAUCCAUGCACGAUUUAAGUAAAACUAAAUAUUUGAUCAGUAUUAAAAGCAACAGUCGUUAUUAAAUCAAGUUCCGUGGGGAUGCGAUUAGCAAAAAUUCAACUUUGGUAAACAAAAAUUAUUAAUCCAGAAUUAGAGAGGAAAAUCAUGCAAUGAUAUAAACGAGGCCGCAAUUAAUUUAUAGAGGAGUGGGUUACCUAAGAUCUGUGGGCUGGCUUUCUUUCUCGUCAAUGGAGGAUGACAGUCGGCUAGAGUUUGGAAGAAGACAGUGGAACGGCGGUGGCUAUAGGCAGGGAAGGAGGAUGGAGAAAGAGGAGGAGGAUGCAGCUAUGCUCCGAUAGUGGGUUCUCUGGAGACGGAGGCCGGAGAAGGAGGGGGAGGAUGCAACUAUGCUGGUGGAGGACUCUCUGGAGGAGGAGGAGGAUGAAGCUUUGGGGGAUUACUCUCGGGAGGAGGAGAAGAAGAAGAAGGAGGAGGAUGAGUAGGGCUCGUCGAUUUGGGGCUCCGCUCUCUGGGGUUAGGGAUUUGGGGGGCUUUCGAGGAUUUAUAUCCAUCGUCUUGUUCUUGCUCUUGGAUUCCGAUGGUGUUUAAUUGCGCCGUCUAAUACCACCGACACUUCUGUGUUCUGG
Molecule: long non-coding RNA, 9391 nt
Filed under: Phoenix dactylifera (date palm)
Lineage: Eukaryota; Viridiplantae; Streptophyta; Magnoliopsida; Arecales; Arecaceae
Description: long non-coding RNA (PDAC_LNC000109)
Source: RNAcentral